UCGUUCCCUUCUGAACGAUAGUUCUCAGCUCAAAUAGAACUUUCUACAAUAAUGGAAAUGGUUUAUAUCUGAGCACUCAGCCAUUAACCAUAAAUAGCUACUGAGCACUUAAAGUAUGGCUUGUGAGACUGAUGAAUUUAAUCUUCCAUUUUAUUUAGUUUAAAUUUAAAUAGCUGUGUGUGGCUAGAGACUGCAUAUUGAACAGCCCAGAAACUCUAGAUGUUAAAUUGUUAAGUGUAGCGGCUUCAGUGUUCUUCAUUCUCCUCUAAUGACCUCCUUCAAAACAUCUCACCAUUUCCCACCACUUCACCAUCCAGUGACUUUUUGGUUUCCUCCAAUUCUCCCACAUCCCUUAAAAUCACCAGGAAAUAUUCCUUCUCCUAAGUGUUUAUUUUGUUCAGCCCAUCACUUAAACAACAAAAGGACAAAAAACUUAAAAGCAACCAGGAAAAUAGCGAUAAUUAAAAAGAUUUUAUUGUUGAUCUUAUCAUUCCCUUUAGGUGGCCUGGGUCUUUCCAAAGGGAGCCAUGAUGGGACACUUCAGUCAGUGUCAUGCUUGUUGGGACUCCAAACAGUGGUUUCUCUUGAGGGGCACAUUUGUAACUUGGUCUUUAAAAACAUUUAUGGAGUUCCCAUUGUGGCCCAGCAGAAACAAAUCCGACUAGGAACCAUGAGGUUGCAGGUUCGAUCCCUGGCCUCGUUCAGUGGGUUAAGGAUCCGGCAUUACCAUGGGCUGUGGUGUAGGUUGCAGACAUGGCUCUGAUCCCUCAUUGUUGUGGCUGUGGCGUAGGCUGGUGGCUUUAGCUCCGAUUCAACCCCUUAGCCUGGGAGCCUCCAUUUGCCGUGGGUGUAGCCCUGAAAAGCACACACACACACAAAAUUUUAUAUAGUUUCCUUAGUCAAUCAAUUAAAAGAUUAUAUUGAGUCAUUACCUGUUGAGUUUCCUGGAUUUAGUUUUUUGGAUAUAUAGUCACCAGUUUAACUCCUACCCAGUCUUCAGGACCUGGCUUCAUCACCUCCUCAAGGAUGACUUUUCCGAUCUUCACUAAUCAGAUUUCCUUAGGAUGCUUCCUCUCAGCAGUUGCACCUCUCUUUAUGGGGUUGUUGUAAAGACAACAUAAUGCACCAUAAAUACCUCUUUAUUGCCUGACACAUAGUCAGAAAAUACUAGUUGUCCCUAUUUUUAUACUAAAGACACUCCAUCCGGAUGGAGCCAUAGUGAAGUUCAUCAGUAUUGAGCUGUGAUGGAAAUCAAUCAGGAAAAAUUUUACACACAAAAAAAUAAUUUCAAGGUCACAAGCAGGCCAAGGCGGGUACUCUGGAAAGUCUGUGAUGUAAGUAUAGAUAAGGCAGAGGAAGUGCUUCAGACCUGAAUCUGGGAAAGAGAAGAGAUUGCAGCGGGUCCAUUGUAAUUUAGGACCACCUAAGUGGUAAUUCAAAGGAUAUUCGCAAGAUCAUCUGGUAAGUCCCUUUAUGGCUGGGCAAGAUAACACCUAAACCAUUGAGAUAUUUGUCCAUGUUACCUUAAAGUCCUUGUCUGUAGACUUAUUAAUAUUUUACAUAGUUGGAAGAAUAUUUUAUUGUAUAUUUUACUAAUUUGUGUAUUUUUGCUCUUUUUAAUGGUAUUUUGCCUUUAUUUCCUCACACCCUGUCUUAGGGAUUCUGAAGUAAACACAUGAAGUAUGUAUCUCUUUCUCUAUGCUCAUACACACAUACAAACAAAUAUAUGUUUUUUAAUAUAUUUAUUUAUUUAUUUAUUUAUUUUGUGUUUGGUCCUUUUAGGGCCACAUCUGCGGCAUAUGGAGGUUUCCAGGCUAGGGGUCAAAUCGGAGCUGUAGCUGCUGGCCUACACCACAGCUACAGCAGUGCCAGAUCCUUAACCCACUGAGCAAGUCCAGGAACCCAAAACCUCAUGGUUCCUAGUCAGAUUCGUUUCUACUGCGCCACAAUGGGAACUCCUUUUAAUAUUUAUUUUUACAAAAAUUGUAAUACUAUACACAUUUAUUUACAAUUUGCUUUUUAUACGUCAUGUAUAUCCAACAUCUGCUUGAGUUGCUUGUAAAAAAAACUUGGAAUGCGUACUAGAUUUGAUGUACGUUCUUAUUCCCAAUUGAAAACAAACCAGUUUUCUAUUUCUGGAAGAGCAGUAGAUAAGAUCCCAUGUUGCUGUGGCUCUGGCGUAGGCCGGCGGCUGCAAUUCCGAUUUAACCCCUAGCCUGGGAACCUCCAAAUGCUGCAGGAGCGGCCCAAGAAAUGGCAAAAAGACAAAAAAAAAAAAAAAAAAAA
Molecule: long non-coding RNA, 2286 nt
Filed under: Sus scrofa (pig)
Lineage: Eukaryota; Metazoa; Chordata; Mammalia; Artiodactyla; Suidae
Description: lncRNA (ENSSSCG00035001619.1)
Source: RNAcentral